Molecule: ribosomal RNA, 467 nt
Filed under: uncultured bacterium
Lineage: Bacteria
Description: partial 16S ribosomal RNA
Rfam family: Bacterial small subunit ribosomal RNA (bases 14-371)
Source: RNAcentral
GACGAACGCUGGCGGCGUGCUUAACACAUGCAAGUCGAACGGAAAGGCCCUGCUUUUGUGGGGUGCUCGAGUGGCGAACGGGUGAGUAACACGUGAGUAACCUGCCCUUGACUUUGGGAUAACUUCAGGAAACUGGGGCUAAUACCGGAUAGGAGCUCCUGCUGCAUGGUGGGGGUUGGAAAGUUUCGGCGGUUGGGGAUGGACUCGCGGCUUAUCAGCUUGUUGGUGGGGUAGUGGCUUACCAAGGCUUUGACGGGUAGCCGGCCUGAGAGGGUGACCGGCCCCAUGGGAAUUGAGAAGCCGCCCGGAUCCCCACGGGGGGCAGGAAGGGGGAUUCUUGAUAAGGGGGCGGGUGCUUCAGCAGCAACGCCCGGGGGGGGAGGGAGGGCUUUCGGGUGGGAGCCCGGUUUCGCGUUAGGGGGAGGGCGAGAAGAGGUAAUGGUGAAAGGAGCAGCGGUAAACUCAGU